CUCCUCACUCGGUCUCCCGAACUCUCUUCUCACUGAACUCUCUCUUCUCACUCCGUCUCCCUCAUCCUCUCACGCAGGUGAAUCACCCUCUCGCUCAUAUCGUCCUCUCUCUCCCUUUCCCUCACUCGGUCUUUCUCUCCCCAAACAUGAACCCUCCCUCUUUCUUUCCCUCUUUAUUUCUGAGUUGUGAUAAAUCUGAACCCUCCCUCCUUCUUUCCCCUUCUUUCGAACCCAAUCUUGAACCCUCUUUUCCCCGUAGACCCCAAAUCUCCCUUUCUUUCGUUCCCUCCUUCUUUCCCCUUCUUUCGAACCCAAUCUUGAACCUUUCCCUGCAGACCCAAAAUCUCCCUCUCUUUCUUUCCCUCUUUCUUUCCCUUGAUUUACUGAAACAAAAGUAGGAAGGAGAAACUGUUUGAUCAUCAAUGACUGGUUUUGUUAGAACGAGAUCGAAACGGGUCACUUACCCGCUCGACGACCGGGUGAAAGAUAGACUCGUAGGAGGAUACAGCUCCGGACCUAGUGACGCCAGCAAAGGAAGCGAGCACUCCGGCGACUACGACUCCCCCUGCCUCUCCAAGCUCGUCUGCGACUGGGUUUCACGACAACGAGUCCGACUCAGAACGAGUCGAAUCGGGUAUUGGGCCGUGGAAUGGACUUUUUAGUUUCUUCUUUUUCUUCUGUAGGUGUAUGGGUAAGGAAGGGACUAAUUAGGAACAAAGAGUGGGGUUAGGAGGCUCAGAGGAUUGGCAUGAUCAACACACUGCAAGAAAUGUGUAAUGCUCCACUUGGCAUGAUCAAAGUUAAGUGAAACAGAUAAUUCAUUGGACACUCAAGUACCAUUCCUCCCUUUGGUUGAGGUUUCAGUGAAGGCUUUACUUGUCAUAUCAUUAGUAGCUUUACCUGCAGCUCCAAGUGCCGCAACACGAGUUUUGUUCUGUGCUCAUCAUCCAUACUUGGUUGGAACUGCAAAGAGAGACGCAGUUUGGAAGAGGCAACGAAGAUGUAUGCAUGCAUGUGGUUUGGAUCUCUUUCCAGAUAAGUUCUGAGAUUGUUCUCUCGUCGUUUGCUUGUAUUGAGUUUGGGCAUUAGUGAACCUAUUUCUCUUUGUAUGAGAGUCAAAUUUCUUAAUGCAUGUUCAAUCGUUGCCGAGGAUGGUUAUCAUGGAUGAGAAUGGGAAGCAGGGAAGGUGCGGGUUCGUGAGACGGGUGCCUCCUUUUCCAGAUCGACCACAGGAGAGGUCAAUGCCUUGAAGGAGGAAGUGACAACCCUAAAAGGUCAACUUGCAGCCCAGGGCGAGCAAAUGAGUAUUAUUGUACGGGCCUUACAGAUUUCCGGCCUCUAAAUCCCGAUGCCAGCACCUAAUCUUGCUCCACCUUCGACCUCCCAGCCACUUCGCCCAGCCGAUACAUAGUAGUCUGAUGUAUCAAACAUAGAAGACUACUUGUUGUAGUUUUUUCUUUUUUGUUCGAACAUCUUGUAUGUACAUUUUCAUAUAUUUUAUAAUUAAAUACUUUUUUUUGUUUA
Molecule: non-coding RNA, 1524 nt
Organism: Malus domestica (apple)
Lineage: Eukaryota; Viridiplantae; Streptophyta; Magnoliopsida; Rosales; Rosaceae
Source: RefSeq, a predicted model, not a curated record